Molecule: ribosomal RNA, 466 nt
Filed under: Gemella morbillorum
Lineage: Bacteria; Bacillati; Bacillota; Bacilli; Caryophanales; Gemellaceae
Description: bacterial SSU rRNA
Rfam family: Bacterial small subunit ribosomal RNA
Source: RNAcentral
GACGAACGCUGGCGGCGUGCCUAAUACAUGCAAGUCGAGCGAAGUUUUUCUGGUGCUUGCACUAGAAAAACUUAGCGGCGAACGGGUGAGUAACACGUAAAGAACCUGCCUCAUAGACUGGGACAACUAUUGGAAACGAUAGCUAAUACCGGAUAACAGUAUUUCUCGCAUGGGAGAUAUUUAAAAGUUGGUUAUGCUAACACUAUGAGAUGGCUUUGCGGUGCAUUAGCUAGUUGGUGGGGUAAAGGCCCACCAAGGCGACGAUGCAUAGCCGACCUGAGAGGGUGAUCGGCCACACUGGGUCUGAGACACGGCCCAGACUCCUACGGGAGGCAGCAGUAGGGAAUCUUCCGCAAUGGGCGAAAGCCUGACGGAGCAACGCCGCGUGAGUGAAGAAGGAUUUCGGUUCGUAAAGCUCUGUUGUUAGGGAAGAAUGGAUAUGUAGUAACUAUACAUGUACGAGACG